GAGAGAGAGAAAGGAAGUCACCAAACUUGGUCGGUCAGUUCACUCACCAAGCAGAGAGGAACCAUCAUUUUAGGUUCAUCAUAAAGUAGAAAGCUCAGGGAUCCAAUUAUCUAUCUGCCUCUUUACUCCUGUUUCUUCCCAAUCAGUCCAGGUCCUUAGUUACAGUUGCCAUCACAGUUGCUACCCAGAAUCACUAGAAACUUCUUAACUAGGCUUGUCUUACCCCACUCACCCCUCUGUAUUGUGGCAAAGUGGCUCCAGCGCUAACUUGAGCUUGCUUGCCUGUUUGGAAGCUCUCAGUGGGCUCCUCAUAGCUCUUGGAUGAAGUCUGCAGCCUUAAACGCCUGGCCUGGGCUCGGGGGAUAUGGCUCACUGAGUAAAAGCAUUUGCUGUGUCGGCCGUGAUCUUGGAACCCACAUAACCCACGUAAAUGCAGGAGGAGGUAAUCGACUCUACAAAGUCACUUAUCUGACAUCCACAUGUGUGCUAUGGCAUGCAUGCCCACACAUAUAAAUCAUGAGUAUGUGCGUGCCCACCAGAGACACACGGACACAGGUUUUAAAGGCUGUGCCUGAGCUGCCUUGCCUUGUGGCUUACUCUCUCUUCCUAAUACUCCCGCCCCCGCACUUUGUGUCCAAAAAUAACAACCUGCUCUACUUCCCUAAACACACUCUUGGCAUCUGCAGACUGGUCCUGUAUUUCCCUAAUCACAGUGUUUUCCCACUGUGGCGAAUCUGUCUGCUGUCUUCCCUACCCAGCCCUCAGGCCACCUGUCCCCCACUGUCCUGUCAGUGACCGCUGGACAUGGGGUACCCAGGAUUUACUGACAACCAGAGGACUAGCAGAUGACUCCUAAGACAACAGAGUGUACACCAAAAACCCUGGCAAUGGUUGCUCUGGAAAAGACACAGAGAGAGGAAGUGGUAAGGGAGGGUUAUGGCGCUGGAAGGAGAAUGAACAAUGGCUUUCUGUACUUCCUGCCUUUUCUCUCCUUCACCCCUUGCCCUAGGAGCAUUUGCCACACGCCAACGCUGGCUCACAGCUCCUUUCCUGGCUUUGGUGAAAGGUGAACUCUCCGAGGAAGUGCAAAUGUCCCAAAGACAGAAAGAAGUGGAGUGCGGAGGGAGGGUCCUGCCUCUAGAACCUUAAAGGGGUGAGGAGGAGUCUAGGCUGGACCCCAGAAGGCGUGUGGUCCCUGUCGAAUGACUGAGCAACAGGUAUGGGGAGACUGGACCCCAGGAGAAAACGUGUAUCCACUCAGAUUCUCCCCCUUUCCUUCUCCUUUCCCUCCUGUCUCUUCUUUCUUUCUAAGACAGGGUGCUGUGUAGCCCAGGUUAGCCCCAAGCUCAAUAUGUAGUGGAGGAUGACUGGAUUUCUGAUCUUCCUCCCCCUACUGAGUGCUGGGGUUUCAGACAUGUGUCGCCCCCUACCCCCGGUUGAUUCAGGGCCGGGGGUAGAACUCAGGGCUUCAUGAUGCCACUUAAUCAACUAAGCUAUAUCCAAACUUUUUUUUCCUCUCUCAACGCUGGUGCCGGGGCCCAGAGCCAUGUGUAUGCUAGACAAAUGCUCUUCCACUGAGCUACAGCCCCAGUGCUUUCCCCUCUGAUCUCAAAGGGAACCUGCGUCUGGGUAACAGGUGUUUGUGGUAAUGAGCACAGGCAUCGGGUUCCUUAGCUAAGGUAGGUUUCUUAAAACUCUGGGCAUUUGUGCCUCUUCCUUUUUGAAGGGAAGCUACCUUGCACUCACCCUGAGAGAUGGGGCCUUGGAAACAGAUUUAACAGAAAAUAUGUGACCUUUCUUGUACAGUCCAAUUAGUAGUGUAAGAAACACGUUCACCACAUUUUUGCACGGUUUGACUUGGUUACCAUGAGAGCUUUGCAAGUAUCCUCAGAUUAAAAAUGAAAACCAGUCAUUCUCACCAAGACUGUUCAUUACCUAGCUAGGAAGCUUGCUGCCCUGUGAACACAGAGGCAGCCUUCACCCAUCCUUCCAGGCAUUCCAGCCCAAGGCGGGAUCCUGGGGAGAGAGCAGACCUAGGGGCAUUCACCUCCUCAGGAUGCCUGGGCUCCUAAUCACAAAUAGGAAGUUGUUGGCCUGCCCAUUCUUUCAGUGAUACCAGAAGAGGACCAAGUGCUUUUUAGAUUCAGUGAGAAUGCGGCUGGGCAGGGCUCCCAGAAACUGAAGGAAUUUAAGAAUUGGUGGGUGGUGUGUGUUCCCAAGAGAAGCCAUGAGUUGAGAUGGGAUACCCCUGUCCUAGAGUUACCAUGAGGGAGGUCCAGAUCACUCAGGUUUAGAACUGGCUUUGCGCACACUUACACCCCUCGGCAAAGACACGAAAACUGGUGUCUCUCUUUCUCUCUCUGUGUGUGUAUGUGUGUGUGUGUGAGAGAGAGAUGUUAUAAUCUUUUUGUUCUAAGAGGCAUAGUCUUGCUAUGGUGCUUAGGAUUGCCCUGAACUUCUGGGCUCAAGGGACACUCCUGCUUUAACCCCUGGAAUAGCUACGGCUCCAACUGUGAACUCCGAUGUCCAUGUUUUGUUUUAGAGAUAGGUAGGGUCUUGCUGUGUAGCUUAGGUUGACUUAAACUCUUGUCUCUCUUGCUUCAACCUAGUCAGGGCUAAGAUUACAGGCAUGGAUGCUACACCCAUCUGGACUUUAUAUUUUUAAGUCCAUUGUUCUUUCUUUAACUUAUUCAUUCUGGUUUAAUUUCUUUCCAAGACAGAGGUUAGGUUCAAAUUCAAAUGGCCUCACUAGGUACCUGUGGAGUCUUGGGCAAGUUACUUUCUGAGCAUCAUAGCCUUCAUUUCAGGAUGGAAACAACAAUACCACAGAAAAAUGACCCCUGUUCAUCCCAAAGACCAGAGAUAAUGACUAGUAAGUGCCCAGCACAGACCGACACCUAGCAAGUGCUCAUUAAAUGGGAGCUGGCUUUAUUAUUGUACUUACAAUAACAAUUCUCUUUUUAUUCCUGGAAGAGACAAGGCCCUUUCUGACUCCUUCCUCCCGUGGCGGUCAACAGUGCCUCUGAAGGCCAGUAUUCUGCAAGGCAGAGUCUGGGACAGUUCCUUAUCCAGGGCCACGUCCCUCCCGUUCUCAGCCCUCCAAACCCCACCGAACAAGCUCUUCCAGUUUUCAGCCCGCCUCCUUCCCAUGUGACCUCAUUACGGCCUCACAAAGGGCAUUCCAGGGCUCCAGUGAGCUCUGUACUUAACUCCCGGCUCUGUUCUCCGGGCAUCUAUCUUCUCGUGGGCGUGGGCUUCUGCAAGCCACUGGCACUAUAUCCCAUUUCCCAGCCCUCUCCCCCUCCCCCCCACUGCUGCAACAAUCUUUCAGUUCUCGGAUUCUACACUCAGACCUUCACCCAGGCCUUGGACAGCUUCCCAAGUGCCCCCUGAGCAGCUUCCAGCCUGCUCGGUACCUGAGGGUGUCUGCAGGCCACCUCACAGCAAAGGCCCAGCCAGGCCCAGAUAGUGAAGAGAUACAGAAGAGAUAAAUGGAAGCAGACUCCUCUCCCUUAUCAAGCUGCUGCUGCAAAGACGUUCUGCUGGUGCUGGUCGGGAGACUCAGAGAAACGCACAGGCACACUGAAUGGGCCAGAAAAGUACUUAGAGAAUCAGGGAGGGGAGCCAAAUUCCUAGGUUGGAGAGUUCACAGGGCAACUGGAUCAAUACAGCACUUUUGAUCUGCACAGUUAUCAAGGUACAAAGCACCACUACCCUUUGUCCUCUUUCUUUCUCACUCCGGUAAUGGAACUCUUUACCCUAAAUUAAGAUUAUAUUUAGCUUUGAUGUUGCUUUUAGAUUUGCAAAGUGCUUUAUAAGCCUUCAUUAGCGAUUUUAUUCUCAUCUCAUUAGCAUCACCCCCUUCACAAAGCAGGUAACCCUAGAACCAACACAAGGGGUGCUCAGCCUCUGACCUGAACCCUGCCCAGAGACUCAUAGGCUCAAGCUGAUGGAGACUUGCUAGACCACGGGAGGGAGUGUGGAGCAAAAGAGCCAAAAUCUUCACAAGAGUUUUCUUGGAUGGAGAGAGAGACCCAAAGGCCAAUUACUCUCCAAUGGUUUGAUCAAAGCUAGCACACUGUUAUGCUAAUUUGUUGGUAAUAAAACCUAGAGUUCUCACUAGUUCAAAUUAAAAGGCAUGGCAACUAAACAUGUCUUUAAUAGGAAAACAGUUCUCUGGAUUGACUGACUGCCUCCAUAAACAGGCUGAGAACAGAGAAAAAAGAAAGCAUUUGACCGUGAUCAACACUAACACUGCUGAGGAAGGCCCCUCAGUGCCUCUGCCCCUGAACACCCUCUCUAUUUUCCUCACUUACUGUCUGUGACGCACGACUGAACUAGCUCUCUUCUAUCUGCCCUCCACUUGUCGUGAGUUCCUCUUUCUCCUCCUCCUUUGCCUCUCUUCUAAUACAUACACAGUUCCCAAAACAAUAUUCUCUCGUCUCUAUGCUCUCCCUUCUGGAGUUCUUAUACACGCUAGUGUUUUCAGAUGAGACUUAAAUCAGGUCUCUAAGUCAAAUUGGCCUGUGCGUCUAUAGGCCCAUUAGGCGUUAUUUUGUUGCUGUCUUAAUGGCACCCACAAACUCAAAUACAUAGAACCGAAAUAUCACCUUCUGCCAGCAUGGAGCCCUAAACUAAUAACCAUUUGUUCUGUUUUUUGAGAGAGGGUGUCUCUGCAUAGCCCUGUGUCCCCAGGA
Myodes glareolus (Bank vole) is the source of this 4697-nucleotide non-coding RNA. The record is from RefSeq and is a predicted model, not a curated record. NCBI's taxonomy places the organism in Eukaryota, Metazoa, Chordata, Mammalia, Rodentia, Cricetidae.